This 429-nucleotide ribosomal RNA is filed under the name Bacillota bacterium. RNAcentral's name for it is "Firmicutes bacterium partial 16S ribosomal RNA". It matches the Rfam family "Bacterial small subunit ribosomal RNA", at positions 355 to 776 of the family's 1533-position model. Lineage: Bacteria; Bacillati; Bacillota. The record is from RNAcentral.
UAGGGAAUCUUCGGCAAUGGACGGAAGUCUGACCGAGCAACGCCGCGUGAGUGAAGAAGGUUUUCGGAUCGUAAAGCUCUGUUGUUAGAGAAGAACGUUGGUAGGAGUGGAAAAUCUACUAAGUGACGGUAACUAACCAGAAAGGGACGGCUAACUACGUGCCAGCAGCCGCGGUAAUACGUAGGUCACGAGCGUUGUCCGGAUUUAUUGGGCGUAAAGCGAGCGCAGGCGGUUCUUUAAGUCUGAAGUUAAAGGCAGUGGCUUAACCAUUGUACGCUUUGGAAACUGGAGGACUUGAGUGCAGAAGGGGAGAGUGGAAUUCCAUGUGUAGCGGUGAAAUGCGUAGAUAUAUAGAGGAACACCGGUGGCGAAAGCGGCUCUCUGGUCUGUAACUGACGCUGAGGCUCGAAAGCGUGGGGAGCAAACAGG